UUAAAUGAGAGUUUGAUCCCGGCUCAGAAUCAACGCUGGCGGCGCGCCUAACACAUGCAAGUCGAGCGAGAAAGGGAGCAAUCCUGAGUAAAGCGGCGCACGGGUGAGUAACACGUGGAUAAUCUACCCUAUGGUGGGGAAUAACCUUGGGAAACUGAGGCUAAUACCGCAUAAGUUCGAGAGAAGAAAGCCGAAAGGCGCCAUUGGAGGAGUCCGCGGCCGAUUAGCUAGUUGGUGGGGUAAGAGCUCACCAAGGCGACGA
Molecule: ribosomal RNA, 262 nt
Filed under: Bryobacteraceae bacterium
Lineage: Bacteria; Pseudomonadati; Acidobacteriota; Terriglobia; Bryobacterales; Bryobacteraceae
Description: partial 16S ribosomal RNA
Rfam family: Bacterial small subunit ribosomal RNA
Source: RNAcentral